GUCUUUGUGGUGUAAUGGUCAGCACAUUCGGCGCGUACCUUGAGGUCCGAGGUUCGAAUCCCGGCGAGGGCA
RNAcentral lists this transfer RNA (72 nucleotides) under Stegodyphus mimosarum. It matches the Rfam family "tRNA". From Rfam's summary of the family: Transfer RNA (tRNA) molecules are approximately 80 nucleotides in length. Their secondary structure includes four short double-helical elements and three loops (D, anti-codon, and T loops). The record is from Rfam by way of RNAcentral. Lineage: Eukaryota; Metazoa; Arthropoda; Arachnida; Araneae; Eresidae.